Molecule: ribosomal RNA, 301 nt
Filed under: uncultured bacterium
Lineage: Bacteria
Description: partial 16S ribosomal RNA
Rfam family: Bacterial small subunit ribosomal RNA
Source: RNAcentral
CAGUCGCCACGGGAAUACGUAGGUGGCAAGCGUUGUCCGGAAUUAUUGGGCGUAAAGGGCUCGCCGACGGUUUCUUAAGUCUGAUGUGAAAGCCCCCGGCUCAACCGGGGAGGGUCAUUGGAAACUGGGAAACUUGAGUGCAGAAGAGGAGAGUGGAAUUCCACGUGUAGCGGUGAAAUGCGUAGAGAUGUGGAGGAACACCAGUGGCGAAGGCGACUCUCUGGUCUGUAACUGACGCUGAGGAGCGAAAGCGUGGGGAGCGAACAGGAUUAGAUACCCCAGUAGUCCCUGUCUCUUAUAC